RNAcentral lists this long non-coding RNA (484 nucleotides) under Mytilus galloprovincialis (Mediterranean mussel). The record is from RNAcentral. Lineage: Eukaryota; Metazoa; Mollusca; Bivalvia; Mytilida; Mytilidae.
AAAGGUUUCUUUUUCUUCGUUAAAAUAUGCAGUAAAAAAAAAUAUUAUGUCAAAAUGUAUAUGAAAACAGAAAACAAUAAAACAUUUAAAAUCAAUGAUCAUAGUUUAAACUUAGUUCCCAGUGUAAUUAAAUUGCAGUCUUGAAACGGAAAUUCUGUUUAUCUGAUCUGUCAAAAUGACAAGUGUGCAUAAAUUUUAUAGUUACAAAUCAACUAAUCUAUCCAUUAAAUCUCAUUAGAACUCAUUAUGUAAAAACCACAACAUCAUAAAUAUCUCUCUGUGAAAUCCCAGACACAGAUGUUCGAUACCAUAGGUCGUAAAAUCUUGACCAUUAAACUCUUACUUGUUUAUUUUACGGAUACUUCCAAGAGCACGACAGAUUACAACUGUCAAACUUGCUCAAGUGAACACUUGCGAUGCAUAAAAAUGUAGCUUUAAAAAUAAACAUACAUGUUUCAAAGUGAUGACACUAGCAGAGACCCGA